This 561-nucleotide ribosomal RNA is filed under the name uncultured bacterium. RNAcentral describes it as "bacterial SSU rRNA". It matches the Rfam family "Bacterial small subunit ribosomal RNA", at positions 28 to 573 of the family's 1533-position model. The record is from RNAcentral.
GACGAACGCUGGCGGCGUGCCUAAUACAUGCAAGUCGAGCGGAUGAGAAAGGAGCUUGCUCCUUUCGAUUCAGCGGCGGACGGGUGAGUAACACGUGGGCAACCUGCCUGUAAGACUGGGAUAACUCCGGGAAACCGGGGCUAAUACCGGAUAACUCAUGAGACUGCAUAGUCUGAUGAUAAAAGAUGGUUUUGCUAUCACUUACAGAUGGGCCCGCGGCGCAUUAGCUAGUUGGUGAGGUAACGGCUCACCAAGGCGACGAUGCGUAGCCGACCUGAGAGGGUGAUCGGCCACACUGGGACUGAGACACGGCCCAGACUCCUACGGGAGGCAGCAGUAGGGAAUCUUCCGCAAUGGACGAAAGUCUGACGGAGCAACGCCGCGUGAGCGAUGAAGCCUUCGGGUCGUAAAGCUCUGUUGUUAGGGAAGAACAAGUAUGAGUUAACUGCUCAUACCGUGACGGUACCUAACGAGAAAGCCACGGCUAACUACGUGCCAGCAGCCGCGGUAAUACGUAAGUGGCAAGCGUUGUCCGGAUUUAUUGGGCGUAAAGCGCGCGCA